ACUCAAAGGAAUAGACGGGGACCCGCACAAGCGGAGGAUCAUGCGGUUUAAUUCGAUGGUACGCGGAAACCUCACCUGGACUUGACAUAUAGCUGCAAGUUUCUGGAAACAGAAACCUCUUUCGAAGGUGCUAAACAGGUGCUGCAUGGUUGCCGUCAGCUCGUGCCGUGAGGUGUACCCUUAAGUGGGGUAACGAGCGCAACCCUCGUUCUGUGUUAAAUGUACACAGAAGACUGCCGGCGCAAGCCGGAGGAAGGUGGGGACGACGUCAAAUCAGCAUGGCUCUUACGUCCAGGGCUACACGCAUGAUACAAUGGCCGGUACAAAGGGUAGCCAAACCGCAAGGUGGAGCUAAUCCCAUAAAACCGGUCCCAGUUCGGAUUGAAGGCUGCAACUCGCCUUCAUGAAGUUGGAUUCGCUAGUAAACGCGCAUCAGAUCGGCGCGUUGAAUACGUUCUCGGGUCUUGUACACACCGCCCGU
RNAcentral lists this ribosomal RNA (481 nucleotides) under uncultured bacterium. RNAcentral describes it as "partial 16S ribosomal RNA". It matches the Rfam family "Bacterial small subunit ribosomal RNA", at positions 899 to 1397 of the family's 1533-position model. The record is from RNAcentral.